RNAcentral lists this ribosomal RNA (468 nucleotides) under uncultured bacterium. Its description in RNAcentral is "partial 16S ribosomal RNA". It matches the Rfam family "Bacterial small subunit ribosomal RNA", at positions 28 to 507 of the family's 1533-position model. The record is from RNAcentral.
GACGAACGCUGGCGGCGUGCUUAACACAUGCAAGUCGAACGGAAAGGCCCUGCUUUUGUGGGGUGCUCGAGUGGCGAACGGGUGAGUAACACGUGAGUAACCUGCCCUUGACUUUGGGAUAACUUCAGGAAACUGGGGCUAAUACCGGAUAGGAGCUCCUGCUGCAUGGUGGGGGUUGGAAAGUUUCGGCGGCUGUGGAUGGACUCGCGGCUUAUCAGCUUGUUGGUGGGGGAGUUGCUUACCCAGGCUUUGACGGGUAGCCGGCCUGAGAGGGUGAACAGCCACAUUGGGACUGAGAUACGGCCCAGACUCCUACGGUAGGCAGCAGGGGGGAAUAUUGCACAAUGGGCGGAAGCCUGAUGAAGCAACGCCGCGUGCGGGAUGACGGCCUUCGGGUUGUAAACCGCUUUCGCCUGUGACGAAGCGUGAGUGACGGUAAUGGGUAAAGAAGCACCGGCUAACUACGUG